This 497-nucleotide ribosomal RNA is filed under the name uncultured bacterium. RNAcentral describes it as "partial 16S ribosomal RNA". It matches the Rfam family "Bacterial small subunit ribosomal RNA", at positions 28 to 507 of the family's 1533-position model. The record is from RNAcentral.
GAUGAACGCUGGCGGCGUGCCUAAUACAUGCAAGUCGAGCGAACGGACGAGAAGCUUGCUUCUCUGAUGUUAGCGGAGGGCGGGUGAGUAACGCGUGUAUCACCUACUUAUAAGACUGGGAUCACUACGGGAAACCGGAGCUAAUACCGGAUAAGAUUUUGAACCGCAUGGUUCAUAAGUGAGAGACGGUCUUGCUGUCUCUUAUAGAUGGAUCCGCGCUGCAUUAGUUAGUUGGUAAGGUAAAGGCUUACCAAGGCGACGAUGCAUAGGCGACCUGAGAGGCUGAUCGGCCACACUGGAACUGAGACACGGUCCAGACUCCUACGGGAGGCAGCAGUAGGGAAUCUUCGGCAAUGGGCGAAAGCCUGACGGAGCAACGCCGCGUGAGUGAUGAAGGUCUUCGGAUCGUAAAACUCACUUAUUAGGGAAGAACAGAUUUGUAAUUAAAUGUAGAGAUCUUGACGGUACCGAAUAAAAAAGCACCGGCUAACUACGUG